Molecule: long non-coding RNA, 644 nt
Filed under: Cicer arietinum (chickpea)
Lineage: Eukaryota; Viridiplantae; Streptophyta; Magnoliopsida; Fabales; Fabaceae
Description: long non-coding RNA (CARI_LNC000103)
Source: RNAcentral
GUUCAUCCCCACUAACAUUUUAAAUAAGUUUGUGUCGGAUAAAUGUGAGGUUUUUUAGAUUAGAAUUUCAAUGUACCACUACAACCUCAGGUGUCGUUCUUUUAUAUCGGAUUCCUUUAAGGUUUUUGAAAGGAUUAUGUUAUAAUCGUCAGAAAUGGGAGAUAUUUGAUUAUCAUAUCACCAUAUGAUGUGGGAUGUGUGUCCUUUUAAAUGUGGAAUGGUGAUUGUCCUCUGGUGGUCAUAGUCACAUUUGAAUUGUCAUCAAAUGGCUCAAGAUGCGUAAACAUGCGAGCUAUCGUGGUUAUCAUCAUCAUAUUAUCUUUUUGUCCAUUUGAUAGCUAUGAUUAAGGAACUAGGUGUGCUACCAUAUACAUUGACUUCAUAUCUCAUCAUUAAACGUAAUAUGUCCUAAUUUCGAGAAGCUUCUUUGUUGGUCGGAUCAUGUCGAUCUGAGGUGGUCUGAUUUCUUUAAUGGGUUUGGAUUAUAAUGUCCUUAGUCUGACCCAUAACAAGUAUAAGUAACUCGUUUUUUGUAGUUGGAUGUAAAUAACCUUUUAUUUGGGGGUGGCGAAUGGAGUUUUUAAAGUUGUGGUUGUUAUUAAAUUAUUAUAAUUUGAUUAAGUGCCAAAUUUAUCUAGUUUUCA